GAUUUGCGCUGGAAGAGAAUGCGUCAAAGUGAGAUCUCCCAAAGCAAGGAAACCAGAGGGUUGGCAGAGGGACAUGGAACCUGAACAUGAAACCACUGACUCCAGAAAACAAUGAGUAACUCAAAAAGGUUCACACAGGAUUCUAAGAUCAAUGGCUGAAGGAAGAAGAUGAUUCACUGGUGUCCUCACAGGCUGACAUACUAAGGAUCAGCAAAUCAGUUAAUGUCAGGCUGUACGACAUGAAACCCACUGACACUUGUCCUUCCUGUCCCCCAUCCAGGAGGUUUUAUAUGGCAGCAAGCAGGAGAGUCUUGAUCACCCGCUAUCUCUAGACAUGUUGACAAAGGCCUCUGGUCCUUUGAGAAGAGCAAAACUCUCAGAAGCAACAAUGUGCUGGUCAAGUUUUUUGGACUGUGGGACUGGAACAAUCCUAACACACUGAAAGUGUAUGGAACCAAGCACCUGGCUGGCAGCAUAAUCAGAAUCAUAAUCAGAUGAGGAAAGCCAUCAUAUACAAGCAAAGGAGGGAGAAGGAAGAGAUUUGAAAUGGGCAGCCCGUUUCAUGACAAAAUUCUAUCCAAGGCCAUCACCAGUCAGGUCAAGUCUGCCCUGGAACUGUUGAUCCAUGUGCAUCAGACCUAUGCCAUA
Molecule: long non-coding RNA, 648 nt
Organism: Carcharodon carcharias (great white shark)
Lineage: Eukaryota; Metazoa; Chordata; Chondrichthyes; Lamniformes; Lamnidae
Exons: 3
Source: RefSeq, a predicted model, not a curated record